Molecule: ribosomal RNA, 588 nt
Filed under: uncultured bacterium
Lineage: Bacteria
Description: partial 16S ribosomal RNA
Rfam family: Bacterial small subunit ribosomal RNA
Source: RNAcentral
UGGGGAAUUUUGGACAAUGGGGGAAACCCUGAUCCAGCCAUCCCGCGUGUGCGAUGAAGGCCUUCGGGUUGUAAAGCACUUUUGGCAGGAAAGAAACGUCGCGGGUUAAUACCCCGCGAAACUGACGGUACCUGCAGAAUAAGCACCGGCUAACUACGUGCCAGCAGCCGCGGUAAUACGUAGGGUGCAAGCGUUAAUCGGAAUUACUGGGCGUAAAGCGUGCGCAGGCGGUUCGGAAAGAAAGAUGUGAAAUCCCAGAGCUUAACUUUGGAACUGCAUUUUUAACUACCGGGCUAGAGUGUGUCAGAGGGAGGUGGAAUUCCGCGUGUAGCAGUGAAAUGCGUAGAUAUGCGGAGGAACACCGAUGGCGAAGGCAGCCUCCUGGGAUAACACUGACGCUCAUGCACGAAAGCGUGGGGGAGCAAAACAGGAUUAGAUACCCUGGUAGUCCACGCCCUAAACGAUGUCAACUAGCUGUUGGGGGCCUUCGGGCCUUGGUAGCGCAGCUAACGCGUGAAGUUGACCGCCUGGGGAGUACGGUCGCAAGAUUAAAACUUAAAGGAAUUGACGGGGGUGCUAGCUNUUCCU